GAUGAACGCUGGCGGCGUGCCUAAUACAUGCAAGUCGAGCGAACAGAUGAGAAGCUUGCUUCUCUGAUGUUAGCGGCGGACGGGUGAGUAACACGUGAGUAACCUACCUAUAAGACUGGGAUAACUCCGGGAAACCGGGGCUAAUACCGGAUAAUAUUUUGAUCCGCAUGGUUCGAUAGUGAAAGACGGUUUCGGCUGUCACUUAUAGAUGGACCCGCGCCGUAUUAGCUAGUUGGUAAGGUAACGGCUUACCAAGGCGACGAUACGUAGCCGACCUGAGAGGGUGAUCGGCCACACUGGAACUGAGACACGGUCCAGACUCCUACGGGAGGCAGCAGUAGGGAAUCUUCCGCAAUGGGCGAAAGCCUGACGGAGCAACGCCGCGUGAGUGAUGAAGGUCUUCGGAUCGUAAAACUCUGUUGUUAGGGAAGAACAAAUUUGUUAGUAACUGAACAAGUCUUGACGGUACCUAACCAGAAAGCCACGGCUAACUACGUGCCAGCAGCCGCCGUAA
RNAcentral lists this ribosomal RNA (514 nucleotides) under uncultured bacterium. RNAcentral describes it as "partial 16S ribosomal RNA". It matches the Rfam family "Bacterial small subunit ribosomal RNA", at positions 28 to 523 of the family's 1533-position model. The record is from RNAcentral.